AUUAUCCUAGCGGCGGACGGGUGAGUAACGCGUGGGCAACCUACCUUUUGGAGGGGGAUAACAUUGGGAAACCAGUGCUAAUACCGCAUAAACCGGCAGUAUCGCAUGAUACAACCGGCAAAGGAGCAAUCCGCCAGAAGAUGGGCCCGCGUCUGGUUAGCUAGUUGGUGGAGUAGAGGCCUACCAAGGCGACGAUCGGUAGCCGAACUGAGAGGUUGGUCGGCCACAAUGGGACUGAGACACGGCCCAUACUCCUACGGGAGGCAGCAGUGGGGAAUAUUGCGCAAUGGGGGAAACCCUGACGCAGCGACGCCGCGUGAAGGAUGAAGGUCUUCGGAUUGUAAACUUCUUUGAUUGGGGACGAAUAAUGACGGUACCCAAAAAACAAGCCACGGCUAACUACGUGCCAGCAGCCGCGGUAAUACGUAGGUGGCGAGCGUUGUCCGGAAUUACUGGGUGUAAAGGGCGUGUAGGCGGGAUAUUAAGUCAGAUGUGAAAGCCCUUGGCUCAACCAAGGGUCUGCAUCUGAAACUGAUAUUCUUGAGUGCAGUAGAGGGAAGCGGAAUUCCUAGUGUAGCAGUGAAAUGCGUAGAUAUUAGGAGGAACACCAGUGGCGAAGGCGGCUUUCUGGGCUGUAACUGACGCUGAGGCGCGGAAGCGUGGGGAGCAAACAGGAUUAGAUACCCUGGUAGUCCACGCUGUAAACGAUGGAUACUAGGUGUAGGAGGUAUCGACCCCUUCUGUGCCGGAGUCAACACAAUAAGUAUCCCACCUGGGGAGUACGGCCGCAAGGUUGAAACUCAAAGGAAUUGACGGGGGCCCGCACAAGCAGUGGAGUAUGUGGUUUAAUUCGAAGCAACGCGAAGAACCUUACCAGGGCUUGACAUCCCACGAAGUUGCAAGAGAUUGCAAUGUCCUUCGGGACGUGGAGACAGGUGGUGCAUGGUUGUCGUCAGCUCGUGUCGUGAGAUGUUGGGUUAAGUCCCGCAACGAGCUCAACCCUUGUUGUUAGUUGCCAGCAUGUAAUGGUGGGCACUCUAACGAGACUGCCGGCGAUAAGUCGGAGGAAGGUGGGGACGACGUCAAAUCAUCAUGCCCCUUAUGUCCUGGGCUACACACGUACUACAAUGGCCGUAACAACGGGAAGCGAUGUGGUAACACGGAGCAAAUCCUAAAAAAGCGGUCCCAGUUCAGAUUGUGGGCUGAAACCCGCCCACAUGAAGUCGGAAUUGCUAGUAAUGGCAGGUCAGCAUACUGCCGUGAAUACGUUCCCGGGCCUUGUACACACCGCCCGUCACACCAUGAGAGUCGGAAACACCCGAAGUCAGUAGUUUAACAGUAAUGGGGACGCUGCCGAAGGUGGGUCUGAUGAUUGGGGUGAAGUCGGAACGAGGUA
This 1396-nucleotide ribosomal RNA is filed under the name metagenome. RNAcentral describes it as "bacterial SSU rRNA". It matches the Rfam family "Bacterial small subunit ribosomal RNA". The record is from RNAcentral.